Molecule: long non-coding RNA, 748 nt
Filed under: Rattus norvegicus (Norway rat)
Lineage: Eukaryota; Metazoa; Chordata; Mammalia; Rodentia; Muridae
Description: long non-coding RNA NONRATT011298
Source: RNAcentral
CAGCUUGCAGAUGGCUGGCUGACAUCUUGCUACUCAAAAGUUAGUCGGUGGACCAGCCAUACGUGGCAGCUGGUUAAAUCAGGCCCCGCCCCUGGCCCCCAGAGCCGGAACUGGCAUGUGAAGCAAGGUGUCCCCGCGGAGUGUUUGGUCCAUGUUGGAGAAGCAGUCAGUGCCUAGUUCACUGAUUCAUGUGCCUUUUCCUGGGUAUCAACAGCAAAUUAUAAACAAGAGCUGAGGUGCGGGGCUGGGGCUGUAGCCAACUGAUCCAGAAUGGAUGCAGUGGGUAUUUUCAAAGCCCAUCCCUGGGGGGGUUGUGUGUGGGGGGUUCCGAUAUUCAGAAAGACAAACAAACAACCUUGAAAGCCCUUGAGCACAGGGAACUCCAUGUACUGAAAAGGCAUUCAAAGCUUAUGGGAACUUGAGAGAGCCCACAAAACAAAGGCUGUCUGUCUGCACAUGUCUGUCUGCACUUCAUCCAGAUGGGGAGCCCUUAGUCCAGACAGAAUAGGACCCCAGGCCCACACCUUCCUAAGAGCUUCCUGCUCGACUGUCUUUCCUCUUCUGCCAGCCAGGAAGGGUGGGGUGGAGUAUAGGCUCCCCUGGGACAGGGCAGGAAGUGCUGCUCUCAUAAGAAGCUGUGGGGUUGGGAAGCCUGGGACCAGGGGAGUCUGGGCUUCCUCCCUGUGGGCGGGGCCCCACUAAGCCUGCUGCUUGCAGAAGGCCUACUGGGCUGAAUGGCCAGCGAGCC